UUCGAUUUAGUCAAUGUGGUUAUUGUUGAUAGUGGAUUAUGCUAAUGCUACUAAUAAUAUGUUUUUGUAACUAUUGUUGUCCAUAUCAUUAGCAUAGUACUCCUAUGUUACGCAAAAUUUAAUACAUAUAUCAAAUAUUUUAAAUGUAUAUUAAUAAUGUACAUACUUAAUAAAUCACUAACUGAUGAUGAGGUAAAUUAAAAAUGCAGUAGAUUUCAGUAUAAAAAUUAAAUAAUGAAUUCAGAUGAUUCUUGUUAAGAGCUGGUGAGAAAGGGAUGUUUUCAACUUCAGAUGAUAUAUUCUAGUAGCAAAAAAUUAUAACAACCCAAAUAAUUCAAAAAUGGCAGUGAAUGAGGAAGAGUUCACACUGACAAAUCAUCAUUUUUGAAUAAAUAUAAAAUUAAUACAUGUCAAAGUAUUAAUCAUUUAAUUCAAAACUAUUUAAUUCUCAUUUGAAAAUCAGUGAAAACCAAAAAAUAGAACUCAAAUUUGAUUCUGUUUAUGUUGCUAAAAAAAACGAACUCAAAUUUGAUUCAAAAACAUCAACCAUAGGAAAUGACAUACGGAAAAAACUACAAAAAUCAAACAAAUUAAAAAUCAUAAGGAAACAUAGAAAGAAUUGAUAAUCAAAAAUAAAUAUUAUUUAUAGCAUAAACUAAAACAUAACUUAUAUGCAUCAUGAGGAUUCUCUCAUCCCCUUACUAUUAUUUGAGGAGCAUUCUAAAUAAUAAGCCUUUGCAUCAUGUGUUAUUAUCAAGAUUGUCAUUACUUAUGUGUCAUCAUGAGAGCUCUUUUCAUAACAUUUAUUGAAUAACCCUUGCUUGCCUAGACUAAUUACAUAUAGUGUCAUUGUACAUUUAAGUUUCAUAUUUAUGCAUAAUAUAAUUGGGUUUGAUGGAUUAUACAUAUAUCUCUUAUUUUCAUGCGAGUUUUAAAAAUGUAUUUAUUGUUUUCAUGCUUAUAUCUUCUCAUUCUUUCUUGGCUGUAUUUUGUUUUUACAACCUAACAAUAGUAGUCAACUGUAUUGUAAUCAAUAUCGCAUUGUAAACAAGUUUUUAUUUCUUAUAUUUCUUAUUGGAUGAUUUACAUUCUAUAAAUAUAAUAUUGGUGUAUGAGUUUUAUAUGGAGUAAUAUGAGUUUUUAUAUGGAGUGAGAACACAUUUUGUAGUUUGAAAAAAAUAGGACCAUAUAUUGAUCAACGUUGUAGAAAGUUGCUAUAUUUCUAAUAAACUAUAGUUUACUACAUAAAUAUAAUGCAUAAUCUAACCUUUUUUUUUAAUGGUAUACGUACUAUGUAAGCGUAUGGUUUAGAUAUUAUAAUUAAUAUAAUGCAUAAUAUAAUCUUUUUUAAUCUUGUAUGUACUAUGUGGUGCCCAAACAAAUUUAGUGACUAUAUAUAUGGCAAUUUUUCAAUGCAAUUUAAUAAUAUUUGCCCAAUAUUUCAAAUCAUUGAAUCACUAUAAAUGGCAUUACUUUCCGUUAUAUAUUCACAAAUUUGUAUUCCGAAAAUUAUUAUAGGAAAGUUUUGACUCAGACCAGUAUUCAUAUGGAAAUUAGAACAAUUUGUGCUACAAUUAUUUAUUAAUUUAAAGUUCUAUACAAAUUCUAUUCAAUUUCUUAGAUUAAGAACCAAGAUUCUGAAAUUAAGAAUUCAACCCAUCACAACACGUCAAUCUGGUUAUAUCCGAUCAAAUUAAUUUACAAAUUUAAUUUUGUUUCCUAUAUGUUGAUUUCUUAAUUAUAUUACUUUCCAUAAUUUUAAAAUUGGCAGCUAAAAGUUAGGGAUUAAUUCGAUUUGAUUUAGGCUAUAUAAUACUCUUUUCUCUCUAUUUUUUCAUGCAAAAACCCUAUAAGUGAUCCCUGUAUAUAACAUUAGACUAAAAUUCAUCCACAUCAAAACCUACUAUUUUUCUACAUACAAAAAAAAUCAUGAAUUUCGUCUCUGAUUUUGCUUACAUUGUUUUUUUAUCAUGAUAAGGUCGAUUGAAGAAUGUGAUUAACAUUGAUGGGUUUCAAAAAUUAUUUUUGAACCUAAUGAUGUUCCAUAAAUCGUUUUUUUUUUCAGAAAAAGGUAUAUCAUUUCGUUUACUGAAUUCGGUAAAUAUAUGUGUUUAGCUUGGUAAGUUGAUACUUUAUUAUGGCUUUCUAUAGAAUUGCAAACCAAAAGUUCUGAAGACACUUCUAACAGUAGUUGUGGUUUUAUCAAUUUUUUAUUUGUUUCUUUCAUAUUUUAUUAUUCUGUUGCAUAUGUUUCGUUUUAUUUUAUUUUCAUAAUUUAUAUUAUGAAAACAAUAAUGCUCUUGCUUUUUUGUUUUAUCUUAAAUCCAUAAUAAAUUUAUAUAAAUCUUUAGUUACUCUUUUAGAUGUAUUUCCAUAAAAUAUAAUUAAAAUACAUCAAUAAAUUAGUCUAUAUAGUUUUAAAGUUAUAAUCUUUUUUAGUCCAUCACACUGCGCAGGGCGCAGGUUACCACCUUGUUUUUAUUAUAGAUGGAUUAUGUCUCUCGUCAAAGUCUGUUAAGUAAGCAAAGUUGACCUAUCCAUAAGAAAAAGGGGUUGGAGAAAACUAAGCCAGCAAAGGAAAAAGAAAAAUACUUUGUCGACUUCAUCUUAUUAACAAAAAAGAGGAAGUUGUUUAAGGAGAACAUUCACAAAUACAAGAAGUUGACAGAGAAUUAGGGUAUAUAAACUCAUUGUCUUAAAACUUUUUUCUUGAAGAGUUAAUCGCCUUAGGUCAAUUUUUUAAUUAUUUUUCUUGUAACCAAUCUAGAUUUCUCUGAUAAACGUUUUUCAAGUAACCCACCAUUGAAUUCGUAUUUUCAUCUCAAACACGUUGGAUUCAAAUUCAACAAUUUCUCGUAAAUAAAAUAAAUAAAUAAAACUUAUCGAGAUAAACAAUAAUAUGAAAUGUGAAAUAAAUAAUAAAAUUGGUUUAUAUUUUUUAGAUGUAUUUUUUUUCCAUCUCCAAAAUGAACAUGUAUAACUGGUAAAAAAAAUAUAAAUAUAAGUAUAUGCAUCAUGCACGGAACCAAAAAAUAUGAAGGUGUCUUCUUCAUUUUAGUUAUUUUGAUUCUUAACGUUUCUGAGACUUUUUGCUUUUUAUUUGACGUUAUACUCUGCUUAAAAUCAGAUAAAUGAUAUUGAUAGACGACACAAAUUAAAAUAUGUUUUAAUUUAAAGUAUUAGAGCCAUGAUGCUGAUGCUGAUGUUUUGUUCAUCUUUCAAUAUAUAAACUUUGGAAGUGAACUCCUAUGAAUUAAAGUGCCAAAUCACCUUGUUCACUUAUUUCCUGUUGAAUUUGGUCAUAGUAAGACUUGGAGGAUCUCUACACACAACUUGAGAAACACAAAAUUUUGUUUUAUUCAUAACUCAUAACCAUAUUAUGUACAUAGAGAAUGAUAGAAAGAUACUAAUCAAAAGUAAUACGUACAAAAGAGAAACAAAGUCUCCAAUACAAAUGCUGUUUUAAACAGAGUCAUAUACACUUGGUCGUACAGUCAAAUGAACACAGAUUUAUAUAUAUAUAGACUAUAAGAUAACAUAACAUAAGCUAGAACAUGUAUAUGUUUCAGUUAU
This is a long non-coding RNA of Brassica rapa (field mustard), 3573 nucleotides long. RefSeq lists it as uncharacterized. NCBI's taxonomy places the organism in Eukaryota, Viridiplantae, Streptophyta, Magnoliopsida, Brassicales, Brassicaceae. The record is from RefSeq and is a predicted model, not a curated record.